Talpa occidentalis (Iberian mole) is the source of this 1155-nucleotide long non-coding RNA. RefSeq lists it as uncharacterized. The transcript has 3 exons. NCBI's taxonomy places the organism in Eukaryota, Metazoa, Chordata, Mammalia, Eulipotyphla, Talpidae. The record is from RefSeq and is a predicted model, not a curated record.
GCCUUUGAGGUGAGAACUAGACUUGGAUUGGGCUGCCCCAGGCCAGUGGGUCCAUGACGGUCUUGCGCGUGCCCCGACACCCACAGACACGCGCACGCCCGGGUGAGCAGGUUGCGAGGACGGCACCCUCCUGGGCCCUGUGUCUAACUUGAGACAGAGGACGCUUAAGACUAACUUUCUUUGAUAGGAAUACCUGAGGAAUGGCGGUCUGUACCACUGGUUAUGCAAGUGCUGAGGAACAGGAGCAGUGGGAGGCUUGGAUUCAGGAGGUCUUCGUGAGCAAGAAAGAAGUCUGGAGGGCAAACGAGGUCUGCAAGUGGUGGCACUUGCAGAGGUGUAAACAUAGAGAUCGGCACGAAUGUUGUCUCUGAGGACUGGCCUGGCUGCAAUGAAGGCAGAGCAAGGGCCUCUGGAAAGCCUGCGGCACACCCCCAAUUCUGAUUCAGUGAUUUUGCAGCUCCUGUGCUAAAAUCUAAAGAUUUGGAAAUUAAGAGGAUGAUAACAUCUUGUCUCAAAAACCUUGCAACCUUCUGUAAGAGACAGACAUAUGAAUAAACCACUAAAAUCAACUGCGGUGGAUGUGAUACCACAAGAUCUUACAGAAGCUAAAGCAGGAUAACAGAAGUCACUCUUAGGAUUAGGAAGGGUGGUGGCCAAGGGAUGUCUCAAAGAGCAAUGUACUGGAUUUUCAAGGAUGAAGAGGAUUCUGCUAGGGAGAUGAAUGGAAAUCUGCAUGUCAAUCAGAAGGAAAAUGCCCAAAUAGCUGGGGACGUGAGGAGCAUGGUAUGAUUGAGGCACUACCUGUAUUUGUUAUUGCUAUGGCAUUAUGGUUAUUGCUGCAGCAGAGGUAGAAGGGGCGUUAAGUAGAUACCAGAUCAGAAAGGGCAUUGAGGGGCCUCCCCGGUGGCACAGCGGUUGAGCGCUGGGUUGCGAAGCUGCCCGCAGCCUCUGCAGCGCCAGUUCGAUCCCCGGCUGCUCCCUGGCCACUGGAGGAGGGUCCCGCAUGGCGCGCAGACCUCUCCUGCUGCCUGCUGCUCCCCUCAGCACUGUGCUUCAGUCCUUCUACCUGCUCUGCUCCCCUCUCUGGCUCUGGUGAAUUCUCUCACCCUCCUGAGCCUCUGACUGUACCCAGUGCUUGCUUAAAUAAAUAAAUAA